AACUGCACAAAAACAGAAGAAAGGAAAAUAUAGACUUGUUUUAUUUACCUUUUAUGCAUUAUAUAAUUUUGUUAUUGUCGAAACGUUCCCUCAUGUUCGAUCGUACAAUUUUACGGUUCGGGACACGAUUAUUAUACGUUCGUGAAUUGAGAUUUAGUCACGAAGAACAAAGUUACUUCAUAAAUAUAUAUGGUGUGUAUAUGUGCAUAUUUGUGUGUAAUGCGUUUACGCAACGAGUUACACAUUUUUCCGGAAACAACGGUAUAUCGACUUCGUUCAUUUUGCUUUGCGUCAUCGCAAUUUUUCUACACAAUUCUUAAUUACAAUUUACAGGAAACAUGUGCCAUGAUGUGUCGUAUUAAUGAUGUAUAAAUACGCGAGGAAGUGAAACUUUCUUGUGGACUUUUAUAAUUAUCAGUGUUAUCUCUGAGAUACGGAAGGGGAGGCGGGAGAGAGAGAGAGAAGAUCCAUAUUGACAUUAUUGACAUGUUACAUUAUUAUUAAACCGAACCCUAAUCGGAGUGUCUACUUUCACUCAAGAUCAUAAGAAAAUCAUGGAGAGCGCAAAAUGAUAAUGUGGUGAUUACUAAAAAGUUGGUAACAUUAAUUAAUGUUGGAACUUUAUUGAUUAUUUUACAUUAAAAAUCACCAAUUUAUUAUCGUGAAACAGCCUUUUACAUAUAUUGCAUGGAAUAACCGGUACGAAACAUAUCCUGGUAUGGUGGAAUUAUACACCGAUCUUUCUUGCGUAAUAAAAAGAUUAUUACGGCACUGAUCUCAUUUCUUAAUAGACAGAAACAUAAAAAAAUUUACAAUCAGGAGCGAAAGGAUCAGAAUAAGUUAUAUAUAUGUUAUUAUUACUGGAUGGCGAUUAAACCGGUUAGGUUCUUUAAAAAUCUGGCCUUGUGUUUAAAUCUGUAAUUCGGAUAAACUUUCCUCUGCAUGUGCAUAGUAUCGACGUGUACGUGACACAAAGGAAUGUGUUUGUAUGUAUGUGUGCCGAUUAAAGUUAAUAGUAUUGUUUUGCAGGUAGUCGAUGAUCGUAUAAUGAGAAAAAAGUUCUAUCUUUUUUGCUACUUUGAAUGUAGCCUACAUUGCGUCGAGCGUGAAAAUAGAAAAUAGAAAAUGUAAAUAAGACAAACUAUGAUCGGAUUUUAGAUUGGAUUGGAUUAGACGCUAUCAAUAUCGUUAUUUUCUUUCCGCUGUUUUUUUAUCAAUAAAUUAAUUAUCCAAAAAGAUAAAAGCAUCUUAAAUAUAUGUCUUACAUCUCAAAAUAUUAUUAUGAAAAAAGUUUCAUAUAUCGUUUUUUUUUUUAAAUUAAAUUUGAUUAACUAUCUGUAAUAAAAUUUGAGUAUAAUUUUCUUGUUGGUUUAGAAGUUGUACAAUUUUUUUGCUCUUAAUUCUUAUGUAAAAUUGCAUUCUGUAAUACUUAGUUGCAACUGAUGAGAAAGUAGCACGAUUAUUUAUAUUACAAAUUAAAUUUUUUACAUGUAAUAAAACUCUAAUAAAAAUAUUUUUGCGAAAGUU
Long non-coding RNA from Monomorium pharaonis (pharaoh ant), 1527 nucleotides. RefSeq lists it as uncharacterized. The record is from RefSeq and is a predicted model, not a curated record. Lineage: Eukaryota; Metazoa; Arthropoda; Insecta; Hymenoptera; Formicidae. The transcript is spliced from 2 exons.